Molecule: long non-coding RNA, 683 nt
Organism: Corvus hawaiiensis (hawaiian crow)
Lineage: Eukaryota; Metazoa; Chordata; Aves; Passeriformes; Corvidae
Exons: 2
Source: RefSeq, a predicted model, not a curated record
GGAGGAGGAGGAUGAAGAGGAGUUUGAAGAGCACAGUGAAGAGGAGGAGGAGGAGGAUGAAGAGAAAGAGGAUGGCAGACGGCCAGUGGUGGAGCAAUGGAGCAGAGCUGGCCGUAUUUGGUGUUCCUGGUCCAUCGAGGUGCCAAACAGCACAAACCCCGAGCAGUGAGGUCCUGCCAGAGGAUGCUCAGAGGAUGAGAUCUGUAUCAGCCCGACAGUGGGUGCACAGCACAGUUGGCCAACAGCCGGUUGAGCCCUGGUGUUGCUGGAGCACAGGGGUGAGGAGGGAGCCUGGCACAGGAACUUCGAAGGGCAGGUGAAUCUGUCCAAAUGCUCUUUUGUGUCUGCCACCGGCACUGCUUUUCAGGUCAAGGGAGCAGCUCACACCUCAUUUCAUCAUUCUGCAAGUUCCCACCUGCCAUUAUUAAUACCUCACAAAAAGUCUGAGGUAUGUAAGCUCUGAAGUUGCUGCCAAAGAGUUCUGGGAAUUGCAAUCCUCAGCGUUCUUGUGCUUCAGGAAUCUGUUGGUUGGCAGCUCAGGGCUCGGUGGUCACACCUUGCUGUGCCAUGGCGCCACAGCCAGCCCGGCUGGAAGCAGUGGAGGGGACAGAACACUGUUGGGUGGGGAAUUACAAAGGCUUCCAUUCUCUCUGGUCAACAAUAAAAUGAUUUUUUCCUGUUAA